ACAGUACUCUCUCCGUCUGAAAUUACUUGUCGUAGGAAUGGAUACAAAUGGAUGUAUCUAGAACUAAAAUGUGUCUAAUACAUUCAUUUCUCCGACAAGUAAUUCCGGAUGGAGGGAGUAUGUU
Molecule: non-coding RNA, 124 nt
Organism: Triticum aestivum (bread wheat)
Lineage: Eukaryota; Viridiplantae; Streptophyta; Magnoliopsida; Poales; Poaceae
Source: Rfam